AUUUGUAUCUUUAUUGUUAACUCAGCAGAUUCUUUUUAGCCUUUCAGCAAUGAAGAUAAACGUUGAGUUGCCUCAUCAUUGAAAGUAGAUGAGUUGCAUGAGUACAAGGCUACAUCUAAAAUUUACUGCUAAAGUUUGUGUGAGCAAGGUUACUAUCAGGUGCAAACUGAAUCGAUGAUUCCGGAAACAGAUAACAGUCUUAUGUUCUGGAUAAGAGUCCCUUGAGCCAGCCAUAGUUCUCAACACCUCACCCUGCCAUUGGUGAUAGUAUCACGCAGAGGAAAAAUAUUGGUAAAAGUCUUUAACCUGAAGAUCCAGUAUAGUAGCUACGUAACAAGUACUCAGAACAUGAGAUUCCCAAACUUGGAAACCAAUAAGAGGUAUUCCUUUCUCAUUUUAGAAAAAAUGGUAUUCAUAUAAGAUUUUGGAAGGACAUGGUUAAGAGGAACAUCACUAAGAAAAGAAUUCUCAAGUUUGCAUCUUAUAGCAUCACAUCCAGACUCAAACAUUGCACAAAAAUAGAUUAGGCAACACAUAGGACGUGAGUUUCAGGAGAAACAUGCAAGAGGGAUUGUCAUGGUUCAGGUAUGUUAAGUCUAAGCCCUUCCUUCAUUUUGGCAUGAUCCAAGUAAUGAUACAUAAACAUAAUGCUAUUUUAUAAGUGUUUCUAUUCUUAGCAGUUAAGGAUGUCUACGUUAUUUAUUCCUGUAAAAUGAUAUUACUCGAAGGUAUAAUGGUCUUAUGACGCUCCGAGAAGUUUUAUUAACGUACUUCUCAUGCAUUGCAUUUAUUUAUACAUGUAUAUUAACCUAUGAACAAAUGGCGUUAUAUACGCGUAUAUAUGUAUAUCUAUAUGUAUAUGGGAUACGGGAAAAAGUUAUUGUGUUAUAUACGCACCAUCACCUGAUCAGCUCGUAUACGUUGAUGAUUUGUCCAUAGUGGCCGAGAUGAUAUGAUGGGAUGCCCUCAGAGGCGUGAUAAUGUUAUGGUGCUAUAUACGCGUAUAUAUAUGUAUAUGGGAUAUGGGAAAAAGGUAAUGGCAUUAUAUACGCACCAACACCUGAUCAGCUGAUAUACGUUGUUGAUUUGCCCACAGUGACAGAAAUGAUAUGAUGGGAUGCCCUCAGAGGCUUGAUGAUGUUAUGAGCACUUGUACCCAUGCACGACAUGACAUUCAUAUGCAUAUGUAUGAUACUAUAAGUAUUUCAUAAUUUACAGAGUUAUCCAGACUUACAGGUUGAUUCUUAUAUGUCAUUAAAUAAAUAUUAACUUAUUGUUAUGUUUCAGUUCUACCUUACAUACUCAGUACAUUAUUCGUACUAACGUC
RNAcentral lists this long non-coding RNA (1327 nucleotides) under Nicotiana tabacum (common tobacco). RNAcentral's name for it is "long non-coding RNA (NTAB_LNC019055)". Lineage: Eukaryota; Viridiplantae; Streptophyta; Magnoliopsida; Solanales; Solanaceae. The record is from RNAcentral.